This 292-nucleotide ribosomal RNA is filed under the name uncultured bacterium. Its description in RNAcentral is "partial 16S ribosomal RNA". The record is from RNAcentral.
GGACUACCGGGGUUUCUAAUCCUGUUUGCUCCCCACGCUUUCGUGCAUCAACGUCAGAAAUGAGCCAAGAAGCUGCCUUCGCCAUCGGUGUUCCUCCCGAGAUCUACGCAUUUGACCGCUACUCCGGGAAUUCCACUUCUCUCUCUCACCCUCUAGCUUGAUAGUUUCCAUCGCACUGCUCCAGUUAGGCUGGAGUUUUUAACAACAGACUUAUCAUGCCGUCUACGCACCCUUUACGCCCAAUGAUUCCGAAUAACGUUUGCACCUCUCGUAUUACCGCGGCUGCUGGCAC